Molecule: ribosomal RNA, 119 nt
Filed under: Helianthus annuus (common sunflower)
Lineage: Eukaryota; Viridiplantae; Streptophyta; Magnoliopsida; Asterales; Asteraceae
Source: RNAcentral
GGUUGCGAUCAUACCAACACUAAUGCACCGGAUCCCAUCAGAACUCCACAGUUAAGCAUGCUUGGGCGAGAGUAGUACUAGGAUGGGUGACCCCCUGGGAAGUCCUCGUGUUGCAACCC